GGGUCAGUGGGUUGGUCGUGCCACCGGUACGUACUGGACUCACUGAUUCCUCCUUCCUGAAGAACCGUAAUGCCAUUAAUUUGGUGUUGCGGGGAAACAGGACUGUUACUUUGAAAAAAUUAGAGUGUUUAAAGCAAGCUAACGCUUGAAUACAUUAGCAUGGAAUAAUGAAAUAGGACGAUCGAUCCUAUUUUGUUGGUUUCUAGGAUUGACGUA
RNAcentral lists this ribosomal RNA (216 nucleotides) under Glomeromycotina sp. RNAcentral describes it as "partial small subunit ribosomal RNA". The stretch from base 40 to 216 matches the Rfam family "Eukaryotic small subunit ribosomal RNA", at positions 686 to 864 of the family's 1831-position model. Lineage: Eukaryota; Fungi; Glomeromycota. The record is from RNAcentral.